Arabidopsis thaliana (thale cress) is the source of this 702-nucleotide long non-coding RNA. RefSeq annotates it as other RNA. The record is from RefSeq. The transcript has a single exon. Lineage: Eukaryota; Viridiplantae; Streptophyta; Magnoliopsida; Brassicales; Brassicaceae.
UCUAUCUUUUCAAAGUAAUCCCUUAAAGAUAUUUACAUGUUGUAAUGCUCACCACAAACUCUCUGUUUUGCUCACAACCUCUGUUUGUGUUCUUGUUAAAACAAAAAAAUACAAGAACACGUUUAAACACUUCAAUGUAUACAUUGUUAAUAAACUUGAUAAUCUUACACAACACAAAGACACACAUACAUACAGUGGUUUUGCUCCACUUGCUACACUACACAUACUUAGACUCUAGACCACAUCAUAGACCUAAAACUUACAUCAGCCACUCUACUAUGUUGGAACUCCCAACUCCUUAAUUCACUCUUACACAACAUCUUAGACUCUAUCUUAGACUAAGAACACAACACUCAUUAACUAAACAUACUUGGGCCUAAUUCAUCUGCAACCCAUUACAACAAAACACAAUGCCCAACAUCUAUUCUGUUGACUUUGUUCCUUCCUCUUCAUGUUUCGUUGACUUCUUGUCACGACAUCUUCUUCUUCAUUUUGCUCCUUCUUUACGCUUGAAGCUUCUUCUCUAUUCUUCUCUUCUUCUCAUGAAGCUUUUCUUGUUGCAGGAUUUAAUCUAGGAUUCACAAUUCCAACAUUACAGCUAACAAGAUAAUAGCUGAGAUAUAUAAAAUAUAGGAAGGUCCUAAAACCGAAUUAACUCAAUAGAAAAAUAAGAAAAUCUACAAUUAUAAAUCCCCUAGAAAU